Molecule: long non-coding RNA, 371 nt
Filed under: Manihot esculenta (cassava)
Lineage: Eukaryota; Viridiplantae; Streptophyta; Magnoliopsida; Malpighiales; Euphorbiaceae
Description: long non-coding RNA (MESC_LNC002983)
Source: RNAcentral
UUGAAGCCGGUCAAAAAUAGCCUUUCUGAUUAUCAACAAUUUACAACUGCAGAUAGUGGUGAAAGGAUCGAAUCCACAGGGAAUUGAGAACUUACCUAUUUUCCUUAUCAAGACCAAUAAAAUAUACUGAAACAAAAAUAAACUGAAAAAGAAGAAAACUGAAAAUAAGAUAAACUGAAACGAGAUAAAACUGAAAGAGAAAUAAACGGAAAGCAAAACAAACUAAAACGAGAUAUAAUGAGAUAAAAUUGAAAGAGAAAUAAACGGAAAGCAAAAUAAACUGAAACGAGAUAAAACUGAAAACGAGAUAAACUGAAAGCGGAAUAAAAAUAAAUUGCAGUAAAAGUAAAAUGGGGGGUUUGAGAUUGAUU